This 165-nucleotide ribosomal RNA is filed under the name uncultured bacterium. Its description in RNAcentral is "partial 16S ribosomal RNA". It matches the Rfam family "Bacterial small subunit ribosomal RNA", at positions 1328 to 1500 of the family's 1533-position model. The record is from RNAcentral.
GGAUUCGCUAGUAAUCGCGCAUCAGCCAUGGCGCGGUGAAUACGUUCCCGGGCCUUGUACACACCGCCCGUCAAGCCAUGGAAGCCGGGAGUGCCUGAAGUGUGCAACCGCAAGGAGCGCCCUAAGGUAAAACUGGUGACUGGGGCUAAGUCGUAACAAGGUAAC